This 447-nucleotide ribosomal RNA is filed under the name uncultured bacterium. RNAcentral's name for it is "partial 16S ribosomal RNA". It matches the Rfam family "Bacterial small subunit ribosomal RNA", at positions 29 to 523 of the family's 1533-position model. The record is from RNAcentral.
AGCGAACGCUGGCGGCAGGCUUAACACAUGCAAGUCGAACGGUCCUUCGGGAUAGUGGCGGACGGGUGAGUAACACGUGGGAACGUACCCUUAGGUUCGGAACAACACAGGGAAACUUGUGCUAAUACCGGAUAAGCCCUUCGGGGGAAAGAUUUAUCGCCUUUGGAGCGGCCCGCGUCUGAUUAGCUUGUUGGUGAGGUAAUGGCUCACCAAGGCUACGAUCAGUAGUUGGUCUGAGAGGAUGGCCAGCCACACUGGGACUGAGACACGGCCCAGACUCCUACGGGAGGCAGCAGUGGGGAAUCCUGCGCAAUGGGCGAAAGCCUGACGCAGCCAUGCCGCGUGGAUGACGAAGGUCUUAGGAUUGUAAAAUCCUUUCACCGGGGACGAUAAUGACGGUACCCGGAGAAGAAGCCCCGGCUAACUUCGUGCCAGCCGCCGCCGUAA